RNAcentral lists this ribosomal RNA (852 nucleotides) under bacterium enrichment culture clone PF-1_31. RNAcentral's name for it is "bacterial SSU rRNA". It matches the Rfam family "Bacterial small subunit ribosomal RNA", at positions 645 to 1502 of the family's 1533-position model. The record is from RNAcentral.
AGUAUGGCAGAGGGGGGUAGAAUUCCACGUGUAGCAGUGAAAUGCGUAGAGAUGUGGAGGAAUACCGAUGGCGAAGGCAGCCCCCUGGGCCAAUACUGACGCUCAUGCACGAAAGCGUGGGGAGCAAACAGGAUUAGAUACCCUGGUAGUCCACGCCCUAAACGAUGUCAACUAGUUGUUGGGGAUUCAUUUCCUUAGUAACGUAGCUAACGCGUGAAGUUGACCGCCUGGGGAGUACGGUCGCAAGAUUAAAACUCAAAGGAAUUGACGGGGACCCGCACAAGCGGUGGAUGAUGUGGUUUAAUUCGAUGCAACGCGAAAAACCUUACCUACCCUUGACAUGUCAAGAAUUUCGCAGAGAUGUGGAAGUGCUCGAAAGAGAACUUGAACACAGGUGCUGCAUGGCCGUCGUCAGCUCGUGUCGUGAGAUGUUGGGUUAAGUCCCGCAACGAGCGCAACCCUUGUCAUUAGUUGCUACGAAAGGGCACUCUAAUGAGACUGCCGGUGACAAACCGGAGGAAGGUGGGGAUGACGUCAGGUCCUCAUGGCCCUUAUGGGUAGGGCUACACACGUCAUACAAUGGCCGGUACAGAGGGCUGCCAACCCGCGAGGGGGAGCCAAUCCCAGAAAACCGGUCGUAGUCCGGAUCGCAGUCUGCAACUCGACUGCGUGAAGUCGGAAUCGCUAGUAAUCGCGGAUCAGCUUGCCGCGGUGAAUACGUUCCCGGGUCUUGUANNNACCGCCCGUCACACCAUGGGAGUGGGUUUUACCAGAAGUGGCUAGUCUAACCGCAAGGAGGACGGUCACCACGGUAGGAUUCAUGACUGGGGUGAAGUCGUAACAAGGUAACCA